CACGUAAGGCGCGAGCGUUGUUCGGAAUCAUUGGGCGUAAAGGGCAUGCAGGCGGCCGUGCAAGCCCGGCGUGAAAUGGCGGGGCCCAACCCCGUCACUGCGCUGGGAACUGCAUGGCUAGGGUCGCCGAGGGGCAGCCGGAAUUCCAGGUGUAGGGGUGAAAUCUGUAGAUAUCUGGAAGAACACCGAUGGCGAAGGCAGGCUGCCAGCGGACGACCGACGCUGAGGUGCGAAGGCGCGGGGAGCGAAC
Molecule: ribosomal RNA, 250 nt
Filed under: uncultured Treponema sp.
Lineage: Bacteria; Pseudomonadati; Spirochaetota; Spirochaetia; Treponematales; Treponemataceae
Description: partial 16S ribosomal RNA
Rfam family: Bacterial small subunit ribosomal RNA
Source: RNAcentral